GGUUUGGUCCUAGCCUUGCAGUCAGUUAUUACUUAAUAUACACAUGCAAGUAUCCGCCCCCCUGUGAAAACGCCCUUUAAUCCCCUCUAGGGACAAGGAGCUGGUAUCAGGCACGAAAAUCUGCCCAAGACACCUAGCUAUGCCACACCCACAAGGGAAUUCAGCAGUGAUUAACAUUGAGCAUUAGCGCAAGCUUGACUCAGUUAAAGUAAGAUAGAGCCGGCUAAUCUGGUGCCAGCCGCCGCGGUUACACCAUGUGGCUCAAAUUGACACCUUCCGGCGUAAAGCGUGAUUAAAGUUAUUUAUUAAUAGAGUUAAACUGAAACUAAGCUGUGACACGCCUGUUUAUCAAGAAACCCAAAAACGAAAGUUACUCUAACUUAAUCAACUUGACUUCACGACAGCUGG
This 408-nucleotide ribosomal RNA is filed under the name Bufotes viridis (European green toad). Its description in RNAcentral is "partial 12S ribosomal RNA". Lineage: Eukaryota; Metazoa; Chordata; Amphibia; Anura; Bufonidae. The record is from RNAcentral.